GUGAGGAAUAUUGGUCAAUGGGCGAAAGCCUGAUGUAGCAACGCCGCGUGAAGGAAGAAGGGUUUCGGCUCGUAAACUUCUAUCGAUGGGGAAGAAACAAAUGACGGUACCCAAAUAAGAAGCCCCGGCUAACUACGUGCCAGCAGCCGCGGUAAUACGUAGGGGGCAAGCGUUAUCCGGAAUUACUGGGUGUAAAGGGAGCGUAGGCGGCAUGGUAAGCCAGAUGUGAAAGCCCGAAGCUUAACUUCGAGGAUUGCAUUUGGAACUAUCAAGCUAGAGUACAGGAGAGGUAAGUGGAAUUCCUAGUGUAGCGGUGAAAUGCGUAGAUAUUAGGAAGAACACCAGUGGCGAAGGCGACUUACUGGACUGAAACUGACGCUGAGGCUCGAAAGCGUGGGGAGCGAACAGGAUUAGAUACCCUUGUAGUCC
Molecule: ribosomal RNA, 429 nt
Filed under: uncultured bacterium
Lineage: Bacteria
Description: partial 16S ribosomal RNA
Rfam family: Bacterial small subunit ribosomal RNA
Source: RNAcentral